Molecule: long non-coding RNA, 1577 nt
Organism: Meriones unguiculatus (Mongolian gerbil)
Lineage: Eukaryota; Metazoa; Chordata; Mammalia; Rodentia; Muridae
Exons: 4
Source: RefSeq, a predicted model, not a curated record
GGAGGGAGAAGAUUCCCUAAGCCCAAGGCUGAUGUUCCCACCCCCAGCCCAGAACCCUCGGAGGGCCGAAGGUCAGAGUUCACCUGCAAAGAGCGCAGGGUGGAGAGAGCGGAGAGAACCGGAGCCGCAGAUUCCGCGGGAAGCUUCGCGCUCCCGGCCAGCUCACCUGCUCCGGACAGGCUCCUCAAGAUUUCCGUCCGCUCAAAAGUUUGUCCCCUUCGCAGAGGAUUCCAGAGAAGGCGCGCACUGGACCUGGGGGGGGGGGGGGGGGUGAGAAGCCCGGGAGGGCGCGGGCGCCUGAACUAAAGCGCCCGGAGAAGCGGGGCGUGUGAGCGUUCCCCAAGUGCCGGCGAGGCGAUCCGCGGGGCGUCCGGGAGUGCCGGGCUGCUAGGCCCGCGGGGUGCUGCCGCAGGGGUGCGACCCCAGGGCAGCUGAAAGAAAGCACAGAGCCCUAGGUGCUGGAACCCCGGCUGGUGUGCCCCCGCCCACAACAUUCCCCCGACCCCUUCUGGGGCAGCGCUCAGGAUCCCCACUUGUCGGAAAGAGAGGAUGAGGGUCCCCUAAGCCCCACCCCGCCCCCGCGUUACUACCGCCAUCCCCACCCCGAGCCGAGGGACAGACAAGAAUUGCUACUAGAAAUUCGAUCUAUUGGUACAAGGCACCACGUGCUCGUGGGCUGGCCAAUGACCAGGCCGCCCGGGAUGAGCUAAUAAUGGAAGCAAUUUGUAACUUUCAGUAGCUCUCUAGGCCUAGGUACCGGUGGGAGAGAGGCUGGUGAAGGGGAGACAGCACCCCCAGGUUUUUGGCCCAGCCCAUUUGUCUGGGGGCGCUCGGACCCCCUAGCCCUCCUUUUCCGUAGCAAGCAAUCCCGGGCAGGGCUCUUCGCCCAUCCCUGACCGCCAGCACAGCCAGGUAAGCUGGUCCUGGCUCCUCGACAUCCACUUCUUCAGGCACCUGCGGUCCAGCUCCCUCCUUGCUCCAUCAGACAACUGCAAUCCAAUUUUGUUUCUCUCUUAAUCGAAGCUCAUCUAGCCUCCUCCAUCUCAGAAGCCGUCUCAGCUUUACCUCACCCCUCCCCCAGCCUCAGAGGGGUGCUGAGGAGGAAGAAGCCACUGUCCUGUUCCUCCACUGCCCCCACUGGGGACUGCUCCCUCUGCUCCUGAGGUCUCCUGAGAUAGGAAGGGUUCUGUUCUGGCCUGAAACUUGCUUUGAAGCCAAGGAUGACCUUGAACUUCUGGUUCUCCUGGCUCUGCCUCCUAAGUAUUGGACUUACAGCACAGAGCCUUCUAUCCCAGCGCCACUUCCCAGCACUCUGGCCAGGUGUGGCCAGUGGAACCAGACCCAGUGAGGAACCCCAGCUGAGGACACAGGAAGUUCUUUGCGUCCCAUUUCUCCUGUUCUGGACAGAUGCUGAGAUGAGGUCUGGCUGAAGAGCAAGUGGUCCCUGGCAGAGAGCAAAGCAACAGUGUUGAGAGACCCAAGUCCCCAGGUGACAGGUGGGAGACGCUGAGCAACUCCCUUCUCCCUUCUGCUGCCAUUUCCAAGACAAAUAAAUGGUUUCCUUUGCUGCUUCUUGA